UCUACGGGAGGCAGCAGUGGGGAAUAUUGGACAAUGGGCGAAAGCCUGAUCCAGCCAUGCCGCGUGUGUGAAGAAGGCCUUCGGGUUGUAAAGCACUUUCAGUGGGGAAGAAAGCCUUGGGGCUAAUACCCUCGAGGAAGGACAUCACCCACAGAAGAAGCACCGGCUAACUCCGUGCCAGCAGCCGCGGUAAUACGGAGGGUGCGAGCGUUAAUCGGAAUUACUGGGCGUAAAGCGCGCGUAGGCGGUCUGAUAAGCCGGUUGUGAAAGCCCCGGGCUCAACCUGGGAACGGCAUCCGGAACUGUCAGGCUAGAGUGCAGGAGAGGAAGGUAGAAUUCCCGGUGUAGCGGUGAAAUGCGUAGAGAUCGGGAGGAAUACCAGUGGCGAAGGCGGCCUUCUGGACUGACACUGACGCUGAGGUGCGAAAGCGUGGGUAGCAAACAGGAUUAGAUACCCUUGUAGUC
This 465-nucleotide ribosomal RNA is filed under the name Vreelandella stevensii. RNAcentral describes it as "partial 16S ribosomal RNA". It matches the Rfam family "Bacterial small subunit ribosomal RNA", at positions 338 to 795 of the family's 1533-position model. The record is from RNAcentral. Lineage: Bacteria; Pseudomonadati; Pseudomonadota; Gammaproteobacteria; Oceanospirillales; Halomonadaceae.